Cavia porcellus (domestic guinea pig) is the source of this 284-nucleotide non-coding RNA. It matches the Rfam family "7SK RNA". Rfam says of the family: 7SK was discovered as an abundant small nuclear RNA in the mid-70s but a possible function has only recently been suggested. Two independent studies have found that 7SK RNA binds the CDK9/cyclin T complex (known as elongation factor P-TEFb). The record is from Rfam. NCBI's taxonomy places the organism in Eukaryota, Metazoa, Chordata, Mammalia, Rodentia, Caviidae.
GGAUGUGAGUGCAAUCUGGUUGCAACAUUGUCACUCCACUGGUUGCCAGAGUUGGUCCAGUCACUCUGGCUGCUCUACGUGUCCUUCCUGAAGUUCUACCCUUGGUUGAGGAGCACACCUUUCCCCACAGAGGACCAUGCUUUGGUCUGGGAUUCGGUAGUAGCUGCGCUCUCCUGCUAGAACCUCCAAAUAGUUCCUAAGAGGAAACAGUGUGGUCUGCAUCUGUGGGUGUUGGGGAACAAAUUACUGGGUUGUAGGAGGGGCAGUCCCCUCCUCCAAUCCAC